UGCCUUACCCGAUAGGGGAGAUCCCGCGAUCCUGUCAGCUGGUUGAGUGUAGUUAUAAGGUGAGGCCUGCCCCUGUACUCUGGGCAGGCUAACCCUUGUGAGAUUUCCCAAAUGUGGGAAACUCAGCUGCACAGUUUUGUGGUAAUGGGAGAUUGCCUUCUCGCUUUCCCCCU
RNAcentral lists this small nuclear RNA (173 nucleotides) under Crocodylus porosus (Australian saltwater crocodile). Its description in RNAcentral is "U1 spliceosomal RNA (ENSCPRG00005004924.1)". It matches the Rfam family "U1 spliceosomal RNA". Rfam says of the family: U1 is a small nuclear RNA (snRNA) component of the spliceosome (involved in pre-mRNA splicing). Its 5' end forms complementary base pairs with the 5' splice junction, thus defining the 5' donor site of an intron. There are significant differences in sequence and secondary structure between metazoan and yeast U1 snRNAs, the latter being much longer (568 nucleotides as compared to 164 nucleotides in human). The record is from RNAcentral. Lineage: Eukaryota; Metazoa; Chordata; Crocodylia; Crocodylidae.